Pezoporus occidentalis (night parrot) is the source of this 655-nucleotide long non-coding RNA. RefSeq lists it as uncharacterized. Lineage: Eukaryota; Metazoa; Chordata; Aves; Psittaciformes; Psittacidae. The record is from RefSeq and is a predicted model, not a curated record. The transcript has 3 exons.
ACAAGAUGAGGUGGUUUGGGUAUUUUAUUUCUUGCUUCCCCUUUCCCCCCACAAGUGGCCAAAAGCCAAAACUCUCCUAGUGAAUGCCUCUCCCGGAGUGGGAAAAGCUGCCUUGUUUCAUUAAUGUUACUCCUUUUCCCCAAGAAGAGAAGGAAAAGUAUUCCCAUUAUUUUAGCUCUGGAGAAGCCUCAAGUAUUUAUAGAGUCAUGGAAGAUGUACUGAGCCCAGCCUUAUUUUCUCCCCCCACUUUGUUACCACCAGAUAUCAAAGGAGAAGAGGGGAAGAGAGAGCAGAAAAAAGCAAUCACCUGAGAAGUUGGAUACGGUGCUAUAGGGCACCACGGGUACACCUCUACUGUGAAGGAAAGCAAAUUGCAGAGAGGGAACUGAACAUCUUGCUGUCUUCAGGCUCAUAUUCAGUCUUCAUUUGAUGAACCAGAGAGCAAAAAAGGAAGAUCUGCUUCCUCUCUCCAAAGAAGAUGUGAAAUUGCUUCUUCAGUGCUGUCUUGUUGAGUUGAAAGAACCUGGUUCUUCUCACUAAAGUAAGCUAUCUCAUGCAUGAAAAUCAUCAUAAGGAACAGGAGCCUUUUCUUCAAGACACCAAAACUGAUGGUAUUUCAAUCCUAUCAUUUUUAAUUCUGACCUUACCUCUGCCA